AUAUGUAUUCCCCCUCUCUAUGCAAUCACUUCAAAGUCACUCGAAAAAUCUAUGUCUCCCCAGCUCUCUCUUUGAGGCGGUUUCUCGAAGGUUCUAUGUUUUUUUUCAUCAAUGGGGAAGAAAUCAUCGGCUAGUGCAAGAAAGAAUGGAGGAAAAUCAAAAAAUUCAUCUGAAAUGCAUCCUUCUUUAAAGAAAACUCCAUCUACUACUAGCUGAGAAUCUCCCUUCGUCCACCACAAUCUCCGAAAAUCCUCCCUCGACCACCCAAACUCAAAGCACCACUGUGCCACUACCGAGGUUCCUUUUGAGAAAUGGCGAAAGGAGGAGGAAGAUUUGGUUAUUACUGGUCACAAGGAAGGGUCUCCAUCUCCUUAUACUAGAGCAAGGGGAAGUAGAGUCACUAGAUCUGCUAUGAAGAUGGAAACAAAAGAAGUUUUUGAAGAACUGUCUACUGGUUCUGCUACGGAAACUAAAAGAAAUAGGGUACCAACUAGACCUCCUUGCGCUGUAAAAGAUGCUUUAUCUGAAGUGCAUCAAUUGUUGGAAUUUCAAGGCUGCUUUGUGGAUACUGUUAGGGAAUUCCAUGUUAAUUUGAAACAAUUGUCGGAUAUGUAUUUGGGUUGUUCUCUGUUUGGUAGUGAAGUAUCUCUACUUGUAUCUUUUGUGGCCUCUCUACUUGAUAUACCUAGGGAUGGGUUUGAUAUGUAUGAUGUUGGCCUACUAUUGUUGGGGUAACAACUGAGGAGAUUAAGUUUAUGCUUGUUCCCUAUUCCAAGAAUGCUAGUUAUGGAUCUGCUAUUUUGCAUCAUGGAGAUGGUCCUCCACUCCAUUUGCAAUAAAGUGUUAAUUCUUAACAUUCAUGAUCGAGGAAUAGUUCGCAUCAUGGAAUGGUAUUGAUUUACUUAAUUAUGAUGAUAAAGAUCAAGAUAAAUCUCCCUGCUCUCAACAUUGAUCAUAUAGUGAAAUGUUUCUCCUCCUCUCACCAAGCCUUAACAUAUGGUUCAAUCAUCACCCUACUACUUCAAAAGCAAAAGUUGCCUUCCAAUGGGGAAAUAGUUCCCAUUCAGGUCUUUAUAGAGAAGAUCUUAGGGAAAAAAGGGUUGGAUGUUUCCCCAUAUGGGCUGAGGUUCAAGGAGUAAGGAGUAUCAGCUGAGAAGAAAAAGGCCGAGAAAAAGAAGAGAAAGAUAGGGGGAACUAGUUUUGAUAGUGUUGUAAUUACAAGGUUGGACAACCAGGAUACAAUAGUGGAUAAAUGUAUAAGCUGAUUGAGGGUAUAUCCAAAUCCUACAAGUCUAAAAUCACUAAUCUUGAGAACGAAGAAGCUGUCGAGAAUGUUUGAUGGUUCUUUCUCUUUCGAAGGUAAAGACUCAACUUCCUAUAGCGCAGGGUGCUACUGGAUCUAUUGAUCCUCGUCUUCUAGUUGAUUCUUGUCUUCUAGCUGAUACCCAUCUUCCUAGUGAUUGUAUGGAAGAGGAUCAAGAUGAUGAUGAUCAGGAAGAUGAAGAAGGUGUUGGUUCCUCUUUCUCCUCCUCCAACAAAGAAGAAGAAGAUGAUGGUGAUGAUGAUGCCUCAAAAGAAGAGGAUGAAGAAGAUGUCGAGGAGUGAUUGCUUCUUCCAGCCAUUUCCCUAAUACCGUUUUGAUAAUUGUUUCAACAUUAUUGUUCCCUACCCCUGUAUUACAAAAUAAUUUCUGAUCAUGUAACUUGGGUUCUUGUUUAACUAUGUUGGUUUGUACUUGGACAAUUUGUGUUUGGUUUAUGGAUUGUGAGUUGCAUGCCUAA
This is a long non-coding RNA of Beta vulgaris subsp. vulgaris (sugar beet), 1781 nucleotides long. RefSeq lists it as uncharacterized. Lineage: Eukaryota; Viridiplantae; Streptophyta; Magnoliopsida; Caryophyllales; Amaranthaceae. The transcript has 2 exons. The record is from RefSeq and is a predicted model, not a curated record.